UGAGUCCUUGAAAUUCUUUUCGCAAGCAAUUUCGUCUCACAAUCGCUCGAUUCCAACUUCACUUCCUGUUUAGAUGUAGCAAGAAGAAGGUAAGAGGAAUUCUACCGCUACCACCAAUAUUACUGCUUAGUUUACUGCUAACGUAGGAGAAUUACUAACGUACUUCGGUAAUAAAUUUAUGACGCCCUCAAUGCCAGAUUUUCCUUGCUUUACUAAUACCGAGAAACAUGAUUAAUUUGCCAUUGAUGACAGAAUGUCCGACUAAGAAUUGCCAAGUAGACUUCCACGCCAACGAGCAGUGUUGAGUAUGGGAAUGGCAAUACUAAGUAUGAAAUGCCGCUACGUUACACUUGGAUAUUAGUAAUUCGAGCAAACUGACCUGCCAAUUUUAAGGAUGAAUGCGUUUCCUUUGAGCUUUAUAGCUGGCGAAAAUAAGUUUCUACAACUCUUGCAACUGUUACUUAUCCAUCUCAUUUAGGUAGCGUGGCAGCAGGAGCGGAAGAGUGGAAAUAGAGAAAAGGUUUGAUAGAAAAGAUAGUAAAGAAGUACGGUAGGAGAUUGACGGAGGAAUGGAAGUAUUGAGAAAGGUUGAGUUGAAUGAAUUGUAGAGACGGUAGUUCAAGUGUGCGAAACGCAAUUGCUUGAUGGUGCUGUAGCUAUCAUACUUUGUCUUAAUAGGUGACCUUUGGAAACUUGAGAUCGACGAAUCUUCAAAUGUAAAAUACUAAAGUGGUAGGGAAUUCUUAAGUGCGCAAAUUCAAUAUUGUAAGUGAGUCAGUUAGUUUUGCAGAUGAACGAUAAAAGAAGGGUUUUGCAAUUGAUAAAACGCGAUUUAAGAAAAUGACUGCUAAAGAAAUUCAAUGAAGAUUAUUGAGUGAACGAACGGUUGUUGAAAGAAAUGCUUUUUCUUCGGAAAACCACCAAUUCAAUUUACAUGUCAAUUAAUUUCAUAAACUUA
This is a non-coding RNA of Schizosaccharomyces pombe (fission yeast), 958 nucleotides long. Lineage: Eukaryota; Fungi; Ascomycota; Schizosaccharomycetes; Schizosaccharomycetales; Schizosaccharomycetaceae. The record is from the annotation of a GenBank genome assembly.